AGAGAGAGAGAGAGAGAAGCAAAACAAGAUACUCAGGUUCCACCAUUCCUAGCCUGAAGCUACUACAUACAGAAGCUAUAAGCCCUGAUAAAGUACUUUUGAUCUCUGAUGACAGUUUAAAAUCAUAUUCUAUGGUUUUUUCUCACUAACUAUGAUGUAGAGAUACCAAAUAGUAAGGUCAAGACGCCUAGGUAUUAUAGAGGCAAGUCUAUUAUACACAACCACCUAAAAAUUGUGUGUAAUUGAUGCAAUUAUCCACCAAUUCAAUGAAACUUAGCUUAGUUGAAACCAAUACAAAAAAUUUGAUACUUUGAUCCAAGCCAUUCAUAAAAAGGUAGUCUGACAGAAUACUACUGCUAUUCAGCAAUUAUUUUUCAGAGACUCAGAAAUCAAUCCUUCGACCAAAAUAGGGGGGAAAUAGCAAACCUCUUAUUCUAGUUUGUUACAAUUUUACAGUGGCUUUUAGAACCUUCUUGUUGAUAAUAGUGCAGCAGAAUUGUGACAGAAAUAUAUAGUUACUGAUAUUUAUUCAAAUGUUAAAAGUAUGAUGUUGAAUAUUUGAGGUUCAACUUUUAAACUGUUAUGGAAAGUCAAUCACU
This 599-nucleotide unclassified non-coding RNA is filed under the name Hevea brasiliensis (rubber tree). The record is from RNAcentral. Lineage: Eukaryota; Viridiplantae; Streptophyta; Magnoliopsida; Malpighiales; Euphorbiaceae.